Molecule: transfer RNA, 76 nt
Filed under: Caudoviricetes sp.
Lineage: Duplodnaviria; Heunggongvirae; Uroviricota; Caudoviricetes
Description: tRNA-Phe
Rfam family: tRNA
About the family: Transfer RNA (tRNA) molecules are approximately 80 nucleotides in length. Their secondary structure includes four short double-helical elements and three loops (D, anti-codon, and T loops). Further hydrogen bonds mediate the characteristic L-shaped molecular structure. tRNAs have two regions of fundamental functional importance: the anti-codon, which is responsible for specific mRNA codon recognition, and the 3' end, to which the tRNAs corresponding amino acid is attached (by aminoacyl-tRNA synthetases). tRNAs cope with the degeneracy of the genetic code in two manners: having more than one tRNA (with a specific anti-codon) for a particular amino acid; and 'wobble' base-pairing, i.e. permitting non-standard base-pairing at the 3rd anti-codon position.
Source: RNAcentral
GGUCGAGUAGCUCAACAGGUAGAGCAAGGGACUGAAAAUCCCUGUGUAGUGCGUUCAACCCGCACCUCGACCACCA